RNAcentral lists this long non-coding RNA (96 nucleotides) under Monodelphis domestica (gray short-tailed opossum). RNAcentral describes it as "lncRNA (ENSMODG00000045060.1)". The record is from RNAcentral. Lineage: Eukaryota; Metazoa; Chordata; Mammalia; Didelphimorphia; Didelphidae.
ACUUCUACCACCUACCUUGAAGCAGAUGCCCUGGAGGCUGGAAGACCUGAAUUCAAAUUUGACCUGAGACACUAGCUGUGUGACCCUGAGUAAGUC